RNAcentral lists this ribosomal RNA (1541 nucleotides) under Escherichia coli. RNAcentral's name for it is "partial 23S ribosomal RNA". It matches the Rfam family "Bacterial large subunit ribosomal RNA", at positions 344 to 1873 of the family's 2925-position model. The record is from RNAcentral. Lineage: Bacteria; Pseudomonadati; Pseudomonadota; Gammaproteobacteria; Enterobacterales; Enterobacteriaceae.
GGAAAGGCGCGCGAUACAGGGUGACAGCCCCGUACACAAAAAUGCACAUGCUGUGAGCUCGAUGAGUAGGGCGGGACACGUGGUAUCCUGUCUGAAUAUGGGGGGACCAUCCUCCAAGGCUAAAUACUCCUGACUGACCGAUAGUGAACCAGUACCGUGAGGGAAAGGCGAAAAGAACCCCGGCGAGGGGAGUGAAAAAGAACCUGAAACCGUGUACGUACAAGCAGUGGGAGCACGCUUAGGCGUGUGACUGCGUACCUUUUGUAUAAUGGGUCAGCGACUUAUAUUCUGUAGCAAGGUUAACCGAAUAGGGGAGCCGAAGGGAAACCGAGUCUUAACUGGGCGUUAAGUUGCAGGGUAUAGACCCGAAACCCGGUGAUCUAGCCAUGGGCAGGUUGAAGGUUGGGUAACACUAACUGGAGGACCGAACCGACUAAUGUUGAAAAAUUAGCGGAUGACUUGUGGCUGGGGGUGAAAGGCCAAUCAAACCGGGAGAUAGCUGGUUCUCCCCGAAAGCUAUUUAGGUAGCGCCUCGUGAAUUCAUCUCCGGGGGUAGAGCACUGUUUCGGCAAGGGGGUCAUCCCGACUUACCAACCCGAUGCAAACUGCGAAUACCGGAGAAUGUUAUCACGGGAGACACACGGCGGGUGCUAACGUCCGUCGUGAAGAGGGAAACAACCCAGACCGCCAGCUAAGGUCCCAAAGUCAUGGUUAAGUGGGAAACGAUGUGGGAAGGCCCAGACAGCCAGGAUGUUGGCUUAGAAGCAGCCAUCAUUUAAAGAAAGCGUAAUAGCUCACUGGUCGAGUCGGCCUGCGCGGAAGAUGUAACGGGGCUAAACCAUGCACCGAAGCUGCGGCAGCGACGCUGAUGCGUUGUUGGGUAGGGGAGCGUUCUGUAAGCCUGCGAAGGUGUGCUGUGAGGCAUGCUGGAGGUAUCAGAAGUGCGAAUGCUGACAUAAGUAACGAUAAAGCGGGUGAAAAGCCCGCUCGCCGGAAGACCAAGGGUUCCUGUCCAACGUUAAUCGGGGCAGGGUGAGUCGACCCCUAAGGCGAGGCCGAAAGGCGUAGUCGAUGGGAAACAGGUUAAUAUUCCUGUACUUGGUGUUACUGCGAAGGGGGGACGGAGAAGGCUAUGUUGGCCGGGCGACGGUUGUCCCGGUUUAAGCGUGUAGGCUGGUUUUCCAGGCAAAUCCGGAAAAUCAAGGCUGAGGCGUGAUGACGAGGCACUACGGUGCUGAAGCAACAAAUGCCCUGCUUCCAGGAAAAGCCUCUAAGCAUCAGGUAACAUCAAAUCGUACCCCAAACCGACACAGGUGGUCAGGUAGAGAAUACCAAGGCGCUUGAGAGAACUCGGGUGAAGGAACUAGGCAAAAUGGUGCCGUAACUUCGGGAGAAGGCACGCUGAUAUGUAGGUGAGGUCCCUCGCGGAUGGAGCUGAAAUCAGUCGAAGAUACCAGCUGGCUGCAACUGUUUAUUAAAAACACAGCACUGUGCAAACACGAAAGUGGACGUAUACGGUGUGACGCCUGCCCGGUGCCGGA